GACGAACGCUGGCGGCGUGCCUAAUACAUGCAAGUCGAACGCUGAAGGAGGAGCUUGCUUCUCCGGAUGAGUUGCGAACGGGUGAGUAACGCGUAGGUAACCUGCCUGGUAGCGGGGGAUAACUAUUGGAAACGAUAGCUAAUACCGCAUAAGAGUAGAUGUCGCAUGACAUUUGCUUAAAAGUUGCAACUUCACCACUACCAGAUGGCCCUGCGUUGUAUUAGCUAGUUGGUGAGGUAAGAGCUCACCAAGGCAACGAUGCAUAUCCGACCUGAGAGGGGGGAUCGCCCCACUGGGAAUGGGACCCGGCCCAGACUCCUACGGGAGGCAGCAGGAGGGGAUCUUCGGACAUGGGCGGAAGUCUGAACGAACAACGCCGGGUGAGGGAAGGAGGGUUUCGGGUCGUAAAGCUCUGUUGUAAGAGAAGAAAGAGUGUGAGAGUGGAAAGUUCACACUGUGACGGUAUCUAACCAGAAAGCGACGGCUAACUACGUG
RNAcentral lists this ribosomal RNA (495 nucleotides) under uncultured bacterium. RNAcentral describes it as "partial 16S ribosomal RNA". It matches the Rfam family "Bacterial small subunit ribosomal RNA", at positions 28 to 507 of the family's 1533-position model. The record is from RNAcentral.